RNAcentral lists this non-coding RNA (535 nucleotides) under Nomascus leucogenys (northern white-cheeked gibbon). RNAcentral's name for it is "Eukaryotic small subunit ribosomal RNA". It matches the Rfam family "Eukaryotic small subunit ribosomal RNA", at positions 33 to 882 of the family's 1831-position model. Lineage: Eukaryota; Metazoa; Chordata; Mammalia; Primates; Hylobatidae. The record is from Rfam by way of RNAcentral.
GGUUUCCUGUGUUCUGGUAAAAGCUGUAUUUUCAAGACUUCUUUAUAAAAUAAAAAUGUAAAGAAAAACCUAGCUGUAAGACAAUGUAGCUUUUGAGGCGCUGUAAUUGGAAUGAGUCCACUUUAAAUCCUUUAACGAGCAUCCAUUGGAGGGCAAGUCUGGUGCCAGCAGCCGCGGUAAUUCCAGCUCCAAUGGCGUAUAUUAAAGUUGCUGCAGUUAAAAAGCUUGUAGUUGAUCUUGGGAGCAGGUGUGCGGUCCGCUGCAAGGCGAGCCACCGCCCGUCCCCGCCCGUAAACUCUCGGCGCCCCCUCGAUGCUCUAGCCCUGGAUGUACUACUGAAAAACUAUUUAACAAAUCUCAAAUUAAUAGAUUUUAUGUUUAGGACUAUUUGACUUUCAGUGGUUUUUGCAAAAUAAAACAAUAAUCUAAGAUUAUAAAAUAAAACCUAUAUCAAAGACACAAAUACAAAACUGACAGAGGAAAGUCAGUCUAUCUAUCAAGCCCUCAUGUUCUGGAAAUGACCGCUUGAGCACAU